GUCAAGUUGCCAGAGUGGUUAAUGGGUAUGACUCGAACGUCCCCGGACUUCUAGAUAUCAUAUGGCUUCGGCCGCAUAGGUUCAAAUCCUGUACUGUAUG
RNAcentral lists this transfer RNA (100 nucleotides) under Mollisia scopiformis. RNAcentral describes it as "Phialocephala scopiformis tRNA-Ser". It matches the Rfam family "tRNA". Rfam says of the family: Transfer RNA (tRNA) molecules are approximately 80 nucleotides in length. Their secondary structure includes four short double-helical elements and three loops (D, anti-codon, and T loops). The record is from RNAcentral. Lineage: Eukaryota; Fungi; Ascomycota; Leotiomycetes; Helotiales; Mollisiaceae.